UCAAAGCAUCCAACCCUACUACUUGGGCUGCCAUGGUCACCACUGCCACCACCAUUAUUCCGGUGAUAGACAUGUUGGAUCCCGCGGCCAGCGACCAGAUAGUAAAGGUCUGCCAUGAGUUCGGAUUCUUUAAGGUUGUCAACCAUGGUGUCCCCUUGGAAGCCAUGACAAAAUUAGAACACCCGGGUACAAAAUGUCUCAUAAUUCGAUGACAUUAUUUUUUCCGCACACCCGUGCGACAUCCGUGCAACGCCUGUGCAAAGUUGACAUAACACACUCGGUCCAAUUCAGACUAUGUUGGGGCUGUGAGAAACACUGCCUGUGAGGUUUUGGAGAUGAUAUCUGAGGGGUUGAAGAUUGAAUCAAAGGAUCGGAUGUGUUAAACAUACUAUUAAGGGAUGAGAAAAGUGAUUGUUGGUUUAGGGUAAACCAUUAUCUGCCAUGCCCGGAGCUCCAAACUGGGAUGAACGAUGGAGAUCUGAUUGAAUUUGGAGAGCAUACAGACCCACAAGUGAUCUCUGUUGUGAGAUCAAACAACACAACAGGACUGCAAAUCUCAGUUGGAGAUGGGACAUGGCUUUCUGUCCCACCUGAUCACCACUAGCUCCCUCUUCUUCAACGUUGGUGAUUGUUUGCAGGAAACGCUAUGGGCCCAAAGGAGUCAAUUACAUACAACACGUUAUUAGCACGGGUUUUCUAACUCCUCGCGUCGGUUAACAUUGAUGUUAUGAGCUCGUCUGAUCCACAAGAGUUGCGCAAAUGGAAGCAAGCCGGAAGAAGGUGAAGCCGGCCGCAAUCGCAAUUUUGGAGAUGGGCGGCGGACUCAAUUGUGUUUAGAUUAGUUCUAAUAUAUUUCCCCAAAAAUCUCAACUUCGCAACUUGCCCAAAGUCUUCAACAGGGCAAAUUAUACCAUGGAUAAGGGUGUAACUUGCAUUAUACACCCUGAUUCAAAAAUAAUCUAUGAAGUUGACACAUUCUAUACCUGCAAUUGAUAAUUUUUGUACUUAUAGCUAUCAUAUUAUAUGUCAAUAACUAUCAAGUUAUUUAUUUAUAUAUACAAAAGCGGUUAACUGUAA
Molecule: long non-coding RNA, 1077 nt
Organism: Ipomoea triloba (trilobed morning glory)
Lineage: Eukaryota; Viridiplantae; Streptophyta; Magnoliopsida; Solanales; Convolvulaceae
Exons: 3
Source: RefSeq, a predicted model, not a curated record